This 386-nucleotide ribosomal RNA is filed under the name uncultured bacterium. RNAcentral's name for it is "bacterial SSU rRNA". It matches the Rfam family "Bacterial small subunit ribosomal RNA", at positions 30 to 420 of the family's 1533-position model. The record is from RNAcentral.
AUUGAACGCUGGCGGCAUGCCUAACACAUGCAAGUCGAACGGAGAUAGGGGCAACCUUAUUUCAGUGGCGGACGGGUGAGGAAUGCGUCGGAAUCUGCCCUAUGGUGGGGGAUAACACAGGGAAACUUGUGCUAAUACCGCAUAAUGUCGAGAGACCAAAGCAGGGGACCGCAAGGCCUUGCGCGAUAGGAUGAGCCGACGCCCGAUUAGCUUGUUGGUAGGGUAAUGGCCUACCAAGGCGACGAUCGGUAGCUGGUCUGAGAGGAUGAUCAGCCACACUGGGACUGAGACACGGCCCAGACUCCUACGGGAGGCAGCAGUGGGGAAUAUUGGACAAUGGGCGCAAGCCUGAUCCAGCCAUGCCGCGUGCGGGACGAAGGCCUCGG